UUCCGGUUGAUCCCGCCGGAGGUCACUGCUAUUGGGAUUCGACUAAGCCAUGCGAGUCGAGAGGGUUCGGCCCUCGGCUGACGGCUCAGUAACACGUGGAUAAUCUGCCCUUAGGUGGAGAAUAAUCUCGGGAAACUGAGGAUAAUACUCCAUAGAUCUAGGAUGCUGGAAUGCAUUUAGAUUGAAAGCUCCGGCGCCUAAGGAUGAGUCUGCGGACUAUCAGGUUGUAGUCAGGGUAAAGACCUGACUAGCCUACGACGGAUACGGGUUGUGAGAGCAAUAACCCGGAGACGAUAUCUGAGACACGAUAUCGGGCCCUACGGGGCGCAGCAGGCGCGAAAACUUCACACUGUGCGAAAGCGCGAUGAGGGAAUCCCAAGUGUUUGCUCGUAAGAGUAAACUGUUUCUUUGUUUAAAACGCAGAGAGAGUAAGGGCUGGGUAAGACGGGUGCCAGCCGCCGCGGUAAUACCUGCAGCUCAAGUGGUGAUCAUUAUUAUUGGGCCUAAAACGUCCGUAGCCGGUUUGGUAAAUGCCUGGGUAAAUCGUGUAGCUUAACUAUACGACUUCCGGGUAGACUGCUAAACUUGGGACCGGGAGAGGCUAGAGGUACUCCUGGGGUAGAGGUGAAAUUCUGUAAUCCUAGGGGGACCACCAGUGGCGAAGGCGUCUAGCUAGAACGGGUCUGACGGUGAGGGACGAAGCCCUGGGGCGCAAACCGGAUUAGAUACCCGGGUAGUCCAGGGUGUAAACGCUGCUUGCUUGAUGUUAGUUGGGCUCCGAGCCCAACUAGUGUCGGAGAGAAGUUGUUAAGCAAGCUGCCUGGGGAGUACGGUCGCAAGGCUGAAACUUAAAGGAAUUGGCGGGGGAGCACAGCAACGGGUGGAGCGUGCGGUUUAAUUGGAUUCAACGCCGGAAAUCACUAGUGCGGCCGCCUGCAGGUCGACCAUAU
This 950-nucleotide ribosomal RNA is filed under the name uncultured archaeon. Its description in RNAcentral is "bacterial SSU rRNA". It matches the Rfam family "Archaeal small subunit ribosomal RNA", at positions 1 to 959 of the family's 1478-position model. The record is from RNAcentral.